Cucurbita maxima (winter squash) is the source of this 144-nucleotide long non-coding RNA. RefSeq lists it as uncharacterized. The transcript is spliced from 2 exons. The record is from RefSeq and is a predicted model, not a curated record. NCBI's taxonomy places the organism in Eukaryota, Viridiplantae, Streptophyta, Magnoliopsida, Cucurbitales, Cucurbitaceae.
GGCCGAAUGGUUGAGGAAAAGGGAGAACGCCGACAGUUAUUGUUGAGGGAAGUUGGUGAGUCCUUGUGAAGAAGAAGACAUGGGGUGCUGAGAGGAAAGAAAGAUCAAGAAGAAGGUGGGAAGAAGAGGCCGAAAACUGAGGGG